AUGUUUACCUACGACAGAAGUUUGGUGAGGCACGCGGAGGCUAGAGCACCACGGUGGUUGUGUUGGCAUGCAGAUGGAGAGCAGAGCUGCUACGACGCGGCGGUUAGGAUGCAAGGACGGUUGGUCGGAGAUCACAGUGAUUGGAAGCUUCGUACGAUUCAGAGCAGAAAGACUGUGUCAUAUGAAGGUUAUGGUUUGUUGUUGUUUGUUCUGGAUCGAUCUUCUACAGGUCUUGUUGCAACUUUAGUUAAGGUUUUGAAACUGUUUUUGUGUUUUGAAUAUAAGGCUGCCAUGAACUGGUUUUAA
Non-coding RNA from Vicia faba (fava bean), 306 nucleotides. Lineage: Eukaryota; Viridiplantae; Streptophyta; Magnoliopsida; Fabales; Fabaceae. The record is from the annotation of a GenBank genome assembly.